Molecule: ribosomal RNA, 427 nt
Filed under: uncultured prokaryote
Description: bacterial SSU rRNA
Rfam family: Bacterial small subunit ribosomal RNA
Source: RNAcentral
UAGGGAAUCUUCGGCAAUGGGCGAAAGCCUGACCGAGCAACGCCGCGUGAAUGAUGAAGGCCUUCGGGUUGUAAAAUUCUGUUAUAAGGGAAGAAUGGCUCUAGUAGGAAAUGGCUAGAGUGUGACGGUACCUUAUGAGAAAGCCACGGCUAACUACGUGCCAGCAGCCGCGGUAAUACGUGGGUGGCGAGCGUUAUCCGGAAUUAUUGGGCGUAAAGAGCGCGCAGGUGGUUGUUUAAGUCUGAUGUGAAAGCCGACGGCUUAACCGUGGAGGGUCAUUGGAAACUGGUAGACUUGAGUGCAGAAGAGGGAAGUGGAAUUCCAUGUGUAGCGGUGAAAUGCGUAGAGAUAUGGAGGAACACCAGUGGCGAAGGCGGCUUCCUGGUCUGUAACUGACACUGAGGCGCGAAAGCGUGGGGAGCAAACA